This 840-nucleotide ribosomal RNA is filed under the name uncultured bacterium. Its description in RNAcentral is "bacterial SSU rRNA". It matches the Rfam family "Bacterial small subunit ribosomal RNA", at positions 57 to 917 of the family's 1533-position model. The record is from RNAcentral.
GCAAGUCGAACGAGAGAAUUGCUAGCUUGCUAAUAAUUCUCUAGUGGCGCACGGGUGAGUAACACGUGAGUAACCUGCCCCCAAGAGUGGGAUAGCCCCGGGAAACUGGGAUUAAUACCGCAUAAAAUCGCAAGAUUAAAGCAGCAAUGCGCUUGGGGAUGGGCUCGCGUCCUAUUAGUUAGUUGGUGAGGUAACGGCUCACCAAGGCGAUGACGGGUAGCCGGUCUGAGAGGAUGUCCGGCCACACUGGAACUGAGACACGGUCCAGACACCUACGGGUGGCAGCAGUCGAGAAUCAUUCACAAUGGGGGAAACCCUGAUGGUGCGACGCCGCGUGGGGGAAUGAAGGUCUUCGGAUUGUAAACCCCUGUCAUGUGGGAGCAAAUUAAAAAGAUAGUACCACAAGAGGAAGAGACGGCUAACUCUGUGCCAGCAGCCGCGGUAAUACAGAGGUCUCAAGCGUUGUUCGGAAUCACUGGGCGUAAAGCGUGCGUAGGCGGUUUCGUAAGUCGUGUGUGAAAGGCGGGGGCUCAACCCCCGGACUGCACAUGAUACUGCGAGACUAGAGUAAUGGAGGGGGAACCGGAAUUCUCGGUGUAGCAGUGAAAUGCGUAGAUAUCGAGAGGAACACUCGUGGCGAAGGCGGGUUCCUGGACAUUAACUGACGCUGAGGCACGAAGGCCAGGGGAGCGAAAGGGAUUAGAUACCCCUGUAGUCCUGGCAGUAAACGGUGCACGCUUGGUGUGCGGGGAAUCGACCCCCUGCGUGCCGGAGCUAACGCGUUAAGCGUGCCGCCUGGGGAGUACGGUCGCAAGAUUAAAACUCAAAGAAAUUGACGGG